RNAcentral lists this long non-coding RNA (298 nucleotides) under Gossypium barbadense (sea-island cotton). RNAcentral describes it as "long non-coding RNA (GBAR_LNC009905)". Lineage: Eukaryota; Viridiplantae; Streptophyta; Magnoliopsida; Malvales; Malvaceae. The record is from RNAcentral.
UUGAAGUUUCAUAUUUUUUAUUGGCUUCUCAUACAUACUCCACCAACCCCUGUUUUCUGUUUUCAGUUUCCACCACCUAACUCACCGACCACAAGGAACCCACGAACCAGUCUUUUUUACUUUUUUUUAUUCACAUAUACGUAUCCUUCCAGUCUUUUUUACUUUUUUUUAUUCACAUAUACGUACCUUUGUCUUUUUUCAAUUUUCGCAGUGAUUCAUUGUUUCAAAGCUUCAAACUUUGGCAUUCUUUAGUGUUUCUAUUUCUUUGGAAAAGGUCUUUCUGUGUAGCAUCAAUGGA